This 367-nucleotide ribosomal RNA is filed under the name Enterocytozoon bieneusi. RNAcentral describes it as "eukaryotic LSU rRNA". The stretch from base 1 to 96 matches the Rfam family "Microsporidia small subunit ribosomal RNA", at positions 1216 to 1311 of the family's 1311-position model. The record is from RNAcentral. Lineage: Eukaryota; Fungi; Microsporidia; Enterocytozoonidae.
CAUAGGGAUGAAGAGCUUCGGCUCUGAAUAUCUAUGGCUAGAUAAAGUACAAGUCGUAACAAGGUUUCAGUUGGAGAACCAGCUGAAGGAUCAUUUAUAAUUUUUAUAUAUAUUUAUAUCGGAAUAUUUAAUAUAUAAAUAAAAUAUUUUUAAACAAAUAUUUAUAAUGAUUAGUUUAUAUUUUUUAAUAUUUAUAAAUAUAAUUUUGAUAAAUUAAUAUAUAGUUAAGAAUGAUAUUUAAAUAAUUAAUAUUAUUUGAAUAUAGUUGUAAUAAUAGUAAAUUUAAUUAAUUAAAUUAAAUAUGUAAAGAUUAAAAAAAUGAAUAAUGGUUGAGGCGAGCGGUAGUAAGGUACGUCAGGGCACCCCA